This 2536-nucleotide long non-coding RNA is filed under the name Heterocephalus glaber (naked mole-rat). RNAcentral describes it as "lncRNA (ENSHGLG00100045900.1)". Lineage: Eukaryota; Metazoa; Chordata; Mammalia; Rodentia; Bathyergidae. The record is from RNAcentral.
GACUUCUUCUGACCUGGAAGAGGUGAGACAGGGGCUGGGAGCGGCGGGAUGGAUGGUGGCUUGGAAGCCUCUUCCUCUGGGCCAGGAGCAGUGGGAUGGUGGCUCAGAAGUCCCUACCUCUGUGUCGGGAGUGAUGGGACAGAUGAUGGCCCAAAAGCCCUUUCCUCUGGGCUGGGAGCAACGGGGCUAUUUUUCCAUUUUAAAGGAAACUAGAGAUCAGAGGUUAUAGAACUACUCCAAGGUCACAUAGCAGCAGGGGGCUAAAAUAGGAUUGAAUCCCAGGCUGUCAGAUUGGAAGCCUACCUCUAACCUUCAUGCUAUACCAUAUCUCACUUCCAAGAUAUUUACAUUUGAAGAGAUUCAAUACAGUGAACUAUUUAGCUGAAAAUACCAUAAAAAUGAGCCUUUUGGGCAUAAGGAACAGACUUCCAUUAACUUCAGUGCUCAGCCUGCAUUUAAAGAUUUCUCUCAGGUAGCCUUCUCCUUAGCCUUGGGCGAAAGCUGGCCCUGACCAUGUUACUGGGACAGGAUUGUACAAUCAUCCUCCCCAACCCGGGGCCAUGUUUCUGUGUUGGUUCUUCAAGCUGCUUCUUCACUUCCUCUUGCCCUCAGCCACACUACAGAUCUGCUACUGGCUUCUGACUUCACUGCCUGCCUUAGAAGUGGCAAGCCAAGCAAUCACUUGCUCAACCUUCCUGAGAGCCAGUGAUGGAAAAGAGAAGCAACUCUGGAGCAUGGAACACAAAAGUUUUGGGAGGGACUUCCCAUUGAGGUUCUUUCUUUCCCUGGAGACUCAAUGAUUUUAUGUCUAGUGGUUCAUAAGUUACAAGAUAUCUGGAAUUAGGUGAUCUGACACCCUGUGACUUCUGGCUUUCCCCAAAGACAAAAUGACCAUGGAAGGGAGACCAUGAUGGUGACAUUUGGAAGACCCUGUGUAAGGCAGGGUGAUGUUCCAUUAUUUUUUGUACUUGCUAAAACUCAGAGUUCUGAAAAGUCUGGAUGACACAAUGAAAAGUUUGUGUGCUGAGCAAAAUGUUGUCCAAUUGGCCAAUCCUCUACGUCUUGGGAAAUGUCUAGAAGCUUGGCAAGAAGUUGCUCUCAAGAGAGCACGAAUGCUGCCAAUUUCCAAUUGGCCAAGACACAUUACAAGGACAACCUUCUCUCUGAGCAACCUGGCAUUUCCAUUCCAAUUGGAAUCUGCAAUGUGAAGAUGCACAAGGGAGGGAGAUUAAACAAACGUUUUCAGAUUUCUGUUCCAGGUGAAUCUCUCAUCUUAUCUGGUCUGUUCUGAUCUGCUUUUGUUCACUGACCAUUUCAAACAUUAAGGGACAUGUUACAGCCUCACAGUGAAAAGGUCAAGAGACUCUCUUUGAGAAGCAGCAAGAGCAGAGACGCCCAGGUACAGGGAUGACAGAGUCUUCUUUAGGUCACAAUGAUAGUACUCUGGUUGAUCUCCAAAGCACAAGAUGGCUCCAGGAAGGCUGGAUCCCAAGCAAAAGGCUUCUAGUCUUGCCACUAUGUUCCACUUUGACCUCAGGAGGAAAGAGAACCACUUUUGCAGAGAUCACUGGUGGCUUGAAAAAUUGGAAUGUUAGGGUUGAACUGUUCAACUCUAAUGGGACCCUGAGAAAGGAAGAGGGCUUCAGUAACGAUAUUAUAGAAUUUCCUGCAAGCCCCGAAGACAUGACCCUUGGAGUUAAAUUUCUUUUUAUUGAGAUAAAAAGAGAAAACAAAAAGAUUUCUUGUAUAUAUGCUUGUACUUGGAGCUGAGGUUUAAGUGUGUUAUGAUGUAACUAACGCUCAUUGUCUAGGAAGGCAUUGAAAAUAUUCAAAUAUUGGAGCCAGCCAUGACUAAUUAAAUCACAAAUUUCUUCCUAGUUCUGAGAUAUUAUGUAUAAGUUUUUGACUCAUAAAUCAGUACUCAAAAGUUUUCUUUACUCUUUUUUUCCCCUUAAAUUCUUUUAUUGGUACACUUUAGGUAAUACAUUUACAUUUAUCAUUGGGUGCUUGUACCUGUACAUGAUGUAUCUUGGUUCUUAUUUUUUCCCCCAUUAUCUGUGCCCCCUUCACCCCCUCAACCCUUCCCUUUUUACAUAGACUUUGGGCAGAACAAUUCUAAUUCUUUCCACUCUAUCUCAUAUCUCCUUUAUUUACACCUUGGCCAUGCCUGUAAACUUUUAUAAUAAUACUAAUUUAUUUUAGAUGUGAUUUCCCACAGUUAAUAUUUUAGGCUAAGCAUGACCUCAAUUUCAGCAAUUUCUGCUUUGAAAUGCAGCAAUUAGCAGCACCUGUUCAGGGACAGAUUCACAACGAAAUUAAGGAAGCUGCACCUUUGGGCUCCUCUAACAUUCUCUAGCCCUCUUCUAAAGUCCUAGGAGCAAGGUUGCUAGAUUUAGAAAAUAAAAAAUAUCAUAAAGACUCCCAAGUUAAAUUUGAAUAUCAGAUUUUAGAAAAGGACAUAUGUUUAGCAAUUUGUACGAGACAUAUUCAUACUAAAAAUUGUGUUCAUUGUUUAUUUGAAAUUUAAAUCUACCUG